RNAcentral lists this ribosomal RNA (440 nucleotides) under uncultured bacterium. RNAcentral's name for it is "partial 16S ribosomal RNA". It matches the Rfam family "Bacterial small subunit ribosomal RNA", at positions 338 to 795 of the family's 1533-position model. The record is from RNAcentral.
CCUACGGGUGGCAGCAGUGGGGAAUCUUGCACAAUGGGGGAAACUCUGAUGCAGCGACGCCGCGUGAGCGAUGAAGUAUUUCGGUAUGUAAAGCUCUAUCAGCAGGGAAGAAAAUGAAGGUAACUGACUGAGAAGCCCCGGCGAAAAACGUGCCAGCAGCCGAGGUAAUACGAAGGGGGCAAGCGUGAUCCGGAAUGACUGGGGGUAAAGGGAGCGUAGACGGCUGUGCAAGACAGAUGUGAAAGCCAGGGGCUCAACCCCGUGACUGCAUUUGGAACUGUGUGGCUGGAGUGUCGGAGAGGCGGGCGGAAUUCCAAGUGUAGCGGUGAAAUGCGUAGAUAUUAGGAGGAACACCAGUGGCGAAGGCGGCCUGCUGGACGGUAACUGACGUUGAAGCUCGAAAGCGUGGGGAGCAAACAGGAUUAGAUACCCUUGUAGUC